RNAcentral lists this transfer RNA (74 nucleotides) under Chloroflexota bacterium. RNAcentral's name for it is "tRNA-Pro". It matches the Rfam family "tRNA". From Rfam's summary of the family: Transfer RNA (tRNA) molecules are approximately 80 nucleotides in length. Their secondary structure includes four short double-helical elements and three loops (D, anti-codon, and T loops). Further hydrogen bonds mediate the characteristic L-shaped molecular structure. tRNAs have two regions of fundamental functional importance: the anti-codon, which is responsible for specific mRNA codon recognition, and the 3' end, to which the tRNAs corresponding amino acid is attached (by aminoacyl-tRNA synthetases). tRNAs cope with the degeneracy of the genetic code in two manners: having more than one tRNA (with a specific anti-codon) for a particular amino acid; and 'wobble' base-pairing, i.e. permitting non-standard base-pairing at the 3rd anti-codon position. The record is from RNAcentral. Lineage: Bacteria; Bacillati; Chloroflexota.
CGGGGUGUAGCGCAGCCUGGUAGCGCGCUGCGUUCGGGACGCAGAAGUCGCGAGUUCAAAUCUCGCCACCCCGA